CAUGCAUUUUAUAUUUUCAAUUCUUUACUAAUAAAAGUUCAAACGUAUGUUGAAUACAAUUGUAUAAUAUGUUCGCUGAAAUACAUUAAACAUUUUACAUAGUUUCAAUGUAUUAAAAUCAUUAUAGAUAAAUACAUUUAAAAGAUUUAAUUGUAUACUAUAUUUCAAAUGUUAUUUUUUAAAAAUAUUUAUAUUUAAUAAUAAAUAAUUAUUGUCUCGAUUAAUAUUAUAUACAAUAUUAUAAUAUAUUUUUUGUUUUGUCACGAAUGAAAAGAUUUUUAGAUAAUAAUAUCGAUUAUUUUUAUUAUUUUUUAUUUGAUCUUCAGUAAAAAAAAAAAACUUUUUUUGUUCUGAUUUCAAAAAUAGUUUGAUAAUUUUGAAUCAGAGUAAAGAAGAAUGUAGAAAAAAAAAAUGUACAACAUUUAACCGCGGAUCAGUACGUCGGUACGGAGAUCUUGGUCGUUUGAUCGUCGCUCAAUGUCGAGAUACACGGUCGCAGGUAGUCGCCCUCUACUACGUUCGCACAUAAGAUUGGUUCGUGCGUGUAUGGUAGUUUGGUAGUAGUCGCGACGCUGCCGAGAGCAGCUGAAGUGCGUGCACGUCGUUCUUCGUGAUCUCGGGACACAGUGUUUCACAACGUAUGUAUGUGUAGAUCCAUUUCUCAUCGAAUUUCGCGUGCUUGCAAGGAAAAAGUGUCGGGAAAUAUUAAAAAUCGACAAGAUUGGGUCUGACUUGCAAUGUGAUAAAUCUGCGACGACCUUGGCGGGACGAUGGAAGACCGAACAAUAUAUACAACAAGCUUCUAUUGAAUCGGGCGAACGAAAAAAGAAUCGCAACAAUGGGACACUUGACCGGGAGGGCAAAACACGAGAAGAAGAAGCGGUCGUUCUAAGAGGGUGACUGCCAUGGAGAGAUGGAAAUGGAUUGUUCCACUGCUCGCGGUCUUUUGGACCCUAACCGACGCAUACCUGGCGGUGGUGUCCUCGAACACACCCGCCGGUAGUGUGGUCUUCGAGGCAGGUGUACCACAGUUGGGUGGCCGUCGAAAGUAUGAGGUCUCGAGCGAACGAACCGCCUGGUUCGCAAGAAAAUUACUCAAGGUGCAUCCUCACACCGGUCGUGUCACACUGGCGCGACCAUUGAGCUGCGACGGCCUUCAAUAUCCACGAAUCUUCACCUUUUACGUGGAUUCGACCAGUAGCAGACUAGGCAGACCGACGAUCGACUAUUACAGCUUGCCACUUAGGAUCCUGAUCACAGGUUGUGGUGGGGAGAACCGAGAUCUGGCUGCCACGAGAGGAUGGACGGCAGAGACGUUAGCCUCGUAUGCUAUGCCCAGCACCGAGAGGUUCACCGAGGUUUGUCUUAGAACAUCGCAAUUAGUCGCGGCGUUACGAGAUUUUCUUCCUCAGACGGCUUUGAAAGAGUGCGAAACCAGAUGGGGCGGCGUAGCGGAUCCUAGGUUUCUGAUCGAAGGUGCAGCAGGAGAUUUAGUUUCAGCAACGGAACAGUGUCUAGUGGAUCCUCUUUGGAAAGUGUCCGUAUCGAUGAAUCUAAGAUGCGGAAUGGAAUCACGGUUAACCGAUGCGGAACAUCGUCUCAAGAUCGUUUUUCAUCACCGUCAAUUGGACGAUACGGAUCUAGGUCGACGAGUCCGAAGGGAAUUGAAAAAUCAGUCUCCCUAUUUUGAACAAUCCCUGUACGUCGCGGUCGUUGAGGAGGAGAAAGAACCUGGCGUGUACGUAACAUCUGUUCGGGCCAGAGACCCAGAAGGUGGAACGGUUCGUUAUUCGAUGAGUUCACUGCUCGAUGCACGAUCACAAGCGCUGCUAGUAUUGGAUCCUGUCACAGGAAGAGUUACUACGCGAGCCAGAUUAGACAGAGAAAGCGUAGACGUUCAUUACUUUCGGGUACUGGCCGUCGACGACUCGUUUCCCCCGAGGACGGGUACCACUACACUGCAAGUUAACGUUCUUGAUACGAACGAUCACGCCCCCAGUUUCGAGUGGCCAGAAGAAGAAGCUUCCAUCAGAGAGGGCGUGCCGGUAGGUUCGACGGUUGUCACAGUGAAAGCUACGGACCAGGAUGCUGGCAGAAACGCCGAGGUUGAAUAUUCCAUCUUGUCUACGACCAGUAACAGUGGAACUGCGAAUACCGAGGAUGCGUUGAUCUUCAGGAUAGACCCGAGAACCGGUGUGGUCACGACGCGCACGCCUCUCGACAGGGAAAAAACCGAAGUGUACACGGUUAUUCUGAGCGUGUCUGAUCAGGCGACGCCGCCAUCCGCGCGAAAAACCGCGAAUGCAACAUUGGUGGUCCGUGUGCUGGACGAUAAUGAUAAUUACCCUCAAUUCACCGAGCGUACUUAUUCCGCUUGGAUACCGGAGGACUUGGAUUACACGGCGAAUCCAGUGAUAGCGCGUAUACGCGCGACAGACGCUGAUUCGGGAAACAACGCGGCUGUUCGAUACGCCAUAAUCGGUGGAAACACUCAGAAUACCUUCUCGAUAGACUCCAUGGUCGGCGACGUUGCCCUCGUUAAGCCUCUCGACUACGAGUCCACCAGGAGUUACAAGAUAGUGAUACGCGCACAAGACGGUGGUUCGCCAGCCAGAUCGAACACCACGCAACUGUUGGUGCACGUGGGAGACGUUAACGACAAUGCUCCACGAUUUUACACCAGCCAUUUUCAAGAAUCUGUUUCCGAGAAUGUGCCUGUGGGAUACUCGAUCCUGAGAAUACAAGCGUAUGAUGCCGACGAAGGCGCGAACGCUCAAAUAAAAUAUACUAUUGGAGCUCGAGAUUUCACAGGCGCUUCCACCGAAAAUUUUCCCAUAACCGUCAACGCGGAGACCGGAUGGCUUUAUACGACGAAACAACUCGAUCGUGAACAAUGUUCCAGGUACCAGUUCACCGUGAUUGCCGCAGACUCGGGCGAAAUAUCAAAAUCUGCCAGCGCCACCGUGAUACUCACCGUGACCGAUGUGAACGACAACGAUCCCUAUUUCGACCCGAAGAAUUACGAAUCCGUCGUUUCCGAAGACGACCCGCCAGGCACCCCAGUCGCCUCCGUGACAGCGACCGAUCCCGACGAGGAUGCCAGGAUACACUACGAAAUCACCGCGGGCAACACCAGAGGUCGAUUCGCGAUCGCGUCUCAAAACGGGAGGGGCUUGAUAACGAUAGCCCAACCGCUGGAUUACAAACAAGAGAAAAGAUUCGUUUUAACCGUGACCGCCUCGGAUAGCGGGGGUAGGACCGACACCGCUCUCGUCUACGUAAACAUCUCGGAUGCGAACAAUUUUUCACCCGUAUUUGAGAAUGCACCCUACUCCGUCUCCGUCUUCGAGGACGCGCCCGUCGGCACGACGGUCCUGGUUGUCAGCGCGACUGAUUCGGACGUUGGGAAAAAUGCGCAGGUCGCCUACAGCCUGGACACGGACAGCGGGGAUCGGGCAGCGUCCGAAUUUGUUAUAAACCCCCAAACCGGCGCCAUCACGACCACCAGACCGCUCGAUCGCGAACUCGUGCCCGCCUAUUUGCUCACUGUCACCGCAAGGGAUGGAGGGGUGCCACCUUUGUCGGACACCACCGAUGUCGAGAUAUCCGUUACGGACGUGAACGACAACGCCCCCGUUUUCGAAGCCCCUCAAUACCAGGGAUCCAUUCCGGAAGAUGUUCUGGUUGGUACCAGUGUUCUCAGAGUAUCCGCGACCGACGCCGAUACCGAUCUUAACGGCAGGGUGAGAUACGCUCUGGAGGAGGACGGUGACGGCGCUUUCGCCGUGGACUCGACGACGGGAAUAAUCAGGACAGCGAAGCCACUAGACAGAGAAUCCGUGGCCAAGUACGCGUUGAAGGCGGUUGCGACGGAUCGAGGAUCCCCUUCCCUUUCGACCGUCGUGCCGGUGACCAUCAGAAUAGAGGACGUGAACGAUUCGCCGCCCGCUUUCGAGAACGACAAGAUCGUCCUUUACAUAGCGGAAAACUCACCGAUAGGCUCGACGGUAGGCGAAAUCUGUGCCCACGAUCCGGACGAGGGGGCGAACGCCGUUGUGCAGUAUUCCGUGAUAGGAGGCGAGGACUCCAACAGCUUCGCCCUGAACGUGAGGCCGGGCGCGGACCGUGGCGAGUUGAUCACGCUCGAGGAAUUGGAUUACGAGUCGCCGAAGAAGAAGUUCGAGCUGGUUGUGCGUGCCGCUUCCCCCCCUUUGAGGUCGGACGCUCUGGUUCAGAUACUGGUGACCGACGUGAACGACAACGCGCCCGUGCUCAAAGACUUUCAAAUCAUAUUCAACAACUUCAAGGACUUCUUCCCCGCCGCCCCUAUAGGCAAGAUCCCCGCCACCGACGCGGACGUCACGGACAAGCUGACCUACACCGUGCUGGCCGGAAACAACGCCAAUUUGAUCGAGCUGAACAGAACGAGCGGCGAGAUCCGUUUGUCCCCCCAAUUGAACACCAACGUGCCGCGAGUGGCCACGAUGGAGGUGUCCGUCACGGACGGGAUCAACGAGGUGAAGGCCACGAUGACCCUCUCGGUGCGUUUGAUCACCGACAAGAUGCUCCUCAACUCCAUCACCGUCAGACUGGACGACAUGACCGCGGAGGCUUUCCUCAGCCCCCUGCUGGGCUACUUUCUGGACGGGUUGGCGGCGAUCAUUCCAUGCCCCAGGGAAAACAUCUUCCUGUUCAGCGUGCAGGAGGACGCGAACGUGGACGGGAAGAUUCUGAACGUGAGCUUCUCCGCCCGUAAGGUGGAGCCGGGCGUGGCCGACGAAUUUUACAGCCCCCAGUUUCUUCAAGAACGCGUUUACUUGAAUCGAGGGAUACUGGCGAGACUGGCCACGGUCACGGUGCUCCCGUUCGACGACAACCUCUGCGUAAGGGAGCCUUGCUUGAACUUCGAGGAGUGCUUGACCGUGUUGAAAUUUGGGAACGCCUCUGGGUUCGCGAGCAGCGACACCGUACUGUUCAGACCGAUAUACCCCGUCACGACGUUCGCGUGCAGAUGCGCCACAGGUUUCACGGGCAGCAAAGAGUCGUACCUGUGCGACACGGAGGUCAACCUGUGCUACUCGAAUCCGUGCGUGAACGGCGGCACUUGUUACAGAAGGGAGGGCGGGUACGCGUGCUCCUGCGGCCCGGCGUUUGCGGGGGAAAACUGCGAGAUCUCGCUGGACGAGGAUUCCUGCGCGCCGGGGAUCUGCAAGGGGGGCUCCCGGUGUACCACGAAGACGACGGGCGGUUUCACUUGCGAGGGGUGCCCGGUGGCGGCUUUGGAAAGCGCGACGCCCCUCUGCGAGCUGAGAGCCCGCAGUUUCGGCCCGGCCACGUUCCUCACGUUCGCGUCCCUGAGGCAGAGGCACAGGCUGCAAGUGAAACUGAGGUUCGCCACCGAGGCGGCGAACGGCCUGCUCCUCUACAACGGCCGGUACAACGAGAAGCACGACUUCAUAGCGCUGGAAAUAGUCGAUUCCGAGGUGCAGUUCAGCUUCUCUCUCGGCGACGAGAUCACGCGGACGAGCGCGAGCAUACCUGGCGGCGUGUCCGACGGCCAGUGGCACGAGGUCGAGGUGUCUUACAUGAACAAGACGGUGACCAUCUCCCUGGACGACUGCGACGUCGCCCUGGCCCUGGAGCACGGCGACAGGCUGGGCAGGAGGUGGUCCUGCGCGGGGAGGAGCGAGCAGGUGCUGGAGGAGCGUUGCGGCAUCGUGACCGAGACCUGCCACCGCUUCCUGGACCUGACUGGGCCGCUGCAGUUGGGCGGCCUGCCCGCCAUACCGUCCAGCUUUCGCGUCAGGAACAAGGACUUCGUGGGCUGCGUCAGCGACCUCUACAUCGACCACACUUUCGUCGACCUGAAUUCUUUCGUAGCCGACAACGGCACCAACCCCGGCUGCCCGGAGAAACUCUCCUUCUGCUCGUCCUCGCCGUGCAAGAACAACGGCAAGUGCCGGGAGAUGUGGGCCGGGUUCGUCUGCGAGUGCGAGGAAACCUUCGCCGGGCCCACCUGCGCCGACGAGGUUGGCCAGCCGUGGAACUUCCACGGGGACGGGAUGAUCAGCUUCAACCCCCUGCUGAGGCCCAUCCAACUGCCCUGGUUGACGGCCCUCAGCCUGAGAACUCGGUCGAGGCAAGCGUUCGUGAUGAGCGUGCAAAUCGGGCAGAACAGCUCCGCGCUGCUCCAGAUCCGAGAGGGCAAGCUGGUCGCCCUGUUGGACGGCGCGGACGUCGUACGAACGUCCAACGACAUCGCCGACGGCGAGUGGCACAGGGUGGAGAUCGUGUGGCAGAGCGGUCACGUUUCCUUGGAUAUCGAUUACCGCGGCCGACCCGCGCUCUCCUCCUUGCCGGCCAAACUACAAGGCUUGUACAUAGGCAGGAUCCUGGUCGGGGGGCCGGAACAGUCGGCGGGCGUCGAGUUGCCGCACUUCGACGGUUGCCUCCAGGACAUACGCAUCGGCAGUAACCAGAGCGUGCUGCUGCGGCCGACCGUUCAGGAGAACGUCGCGACAGGGUGCAGCUCGGAGGCCGAGUGCAACGUAGACUGUCCGGAAGCAUCGAUCUGCGUGCCCAAGUGGAAGGCGGGCGAGUGCGUUUGCGCGACCGGGCGGGUGGGACGCAGCUGCGAGCGCGUUUGCGACUUGAAUCCUUGCAACAACGGUGGCGCCUGUGUCGAGGACGCGGCGUCCCGCAGAGGCUAUCGAUGCGAGUGCGACUCGCCCGAGUAUUCCGGCAAUUACUGCGAGAUCAAGGCCGACCAACCCUGUCCGGCAACCUGGUGGGGCUCGCCGGUCUGCGGCCCCUGCCAUUGCGACGAGGCGAAAGGCUACGACCCUGCCUGCAACAAGACCACGGGCGAGUGUUACUGCAAGGAGAACCACUAUCAACCUUCCGGCAGGAAGGAGUGCAUCCCCUGCGAGUGUUACGCGACUGGGAGCUUCGGGCCCCGUUGCGACACCGAGACCGGCCAGUGCCGGUGUCGAGUCGGAGUGAUUGGAAGGUCUUGCACGGCGUGCCCCAAUCCGUACGCCGAGGUGACGCUUCGCGGCUGCGAGGUGGUGUACGACGGGUGCCCCAGGUCCUACUCCGAAGGGCUGUGGUGGCCGAGGACGAAAUUCGGGAUGGUAGCUGUGGAGGACUGCCCCGAGACGGCCGAGGGAAAGACUUGCAGGUCUUGCGACGAUAAACUCGGCGGCUGGCAGGAGCCUGAUCUGUUCAACUGCACCUCGGAAGCGUUUAUCGAGCAGAGGCACCAGCUGGCUGCGUUGGAGACGAAGGAGUUGACUUUGAACACUUACGUCGCGGUGAAGAUAGCGAAAGACGUGUACAGAGCAGUGAACGUGACCAAAGAAUUGUACGGAGCCGAUCUGCUGGUCGCUGAAUCUUUGCUGGUGGCGCUGCUGCGGUACGAGGAGAGUUUGGUCGGGUUGAAUUUGACUCAUAGUCAAGACAAGGAUUACGUCUCUUAUCUGGUCGGGAUUGCUGGCGGUAUUUUAAAAAGCAAGUAUUUGGAAAAGUGGUCGAGGAUCGAGACUCUUAACGGCGAUACACCCGACCAAGUCUUGAAUGCGAUGGGAAAUUAUUUGAAAACCUUGACCGCCUCUCAACACGACACUUUUACGAACCCUUUUGAAAUAGUCGAUGUCAAUGUAGUGCUAGGUCUGGAUGUGGUAACUUCGGAGAGUUUGUUCGGUUACGAAACAGCGGAAUAUACGGAAGAUCCAUCCGCGUCCACAGCAAGGCCAACCGAAGCGGAUCAGAAAGUUGUGUUACCCGACACUUCUGCGUUUCUCUCCUCGCCUGCUCAUUUCGGCCCGUCAAUUACUUUCCCAAAAUAUAAUAAUUAUAUGGCCGACCCGAACAGAUUCGAUCCAUAUUCUAAAAUAAGAGUGCCUCUUGAUAUAUUAGGCAUUAAAACUUUAAUGCAAGGUGAAUUAAAUGUUAAGAAAAGUUUGGUGAAUCGAAAGGCUGUGUUGAGUUAUGUGCAAUAUAAGCAAUUAGGUGCCCUAUUGCCUCAGAGAUUUGACGAUUCUGUGACAGUUAGAUGGGGCGUAGAAGUAGCGGUAGGCUCGCCAGUCAUAACAGUAUCCGUUUUAGUUCCUUCCAAUGACGGUUACGUGUCUUUGACUGGGAUUCCCUUACAAUCUCCUGUUCAAAUCAGUCUUUGGCUCAGCGAAAAAGACGAUAUCAAGACUAGAACUAAUCCGCAAUGCGUCCACUGGAGUACAGCUAGGGGAGUGGGUGAAUGGAGUCGUAUGGGUUGCACUACGGAGAGUGAAGACGAUUCUUUGUCUUUUGGAACGAUUGUAAAUUGUUCCUGUUUCCAAUUAUCCACUUUUGCAAUAUUGACGGAUGUACUCGAUCCAGAAUACGUCCCCGAACCAUCCUUGUUAGAAGAUGUAACGAGUUACAGUGCAUUUAUGCUUGCUUUACCCUUGCUGUUAUCCGCUUUACUUAUUUUGGCUUUGAUACGAGGUGGUGGCACAAAUUCAAAUAGUAUUCAUAAAAAUUUGGUAAUGUGUGUUUUCUUUGCCGAAGUGCUCUAUUUGAUUGCACUCAAAGCUAGAAGUCCCCUAGUCUCGAAUGAAUUUCCAUGUAAAUUGACGGCAAUUGGUCUACAUUAUGCUUGGUUAAGUACAUUCUCGUGGACUUUAGUAGACUCCAUUCAUCUCUAUCGAAUGCUGACCGAAAUGCGAGAUGUGAAUCAUGGACAAAUGAGAUUUUAUUAUGCCAUGGGAUAUGGUGCUCCAGCUAUUAUAGUUGGAUUGACUAUCGGCGUUAGAGCCGAUCAGUACGGGAAUUUUUAUUUUUGUUGGUUAUCAAUUUAUGAAACUGUGAUUUGGUCUUUAAUAGGACCGAUUUGCUUGGCAAUCUUUGUGAAUUUUUGUAUUCUCGUUAUGUCGAUACGAGCGGCUUUUACAUUGAAAGAGCACAUCAUGGGUUUCGGAAAUUUAAGAACGUUACUCUGGUUAUCCGUAGCUUCGUUACCUUUACUCGGAUCUACAUGGACAUUGACGGUCCUUAACGCCUCUGAAAAUUCGCCAACGUUAUCGUACCUGCUUAGUAUAGCAGUCGUGGUACACGCAUCAUUCAGUUUGAUCGGUUAUUGCUUUAUUAAUGGCAGAGUACGAAGAAAUCUAUACUUAAGCCUAUUAAGAUGUAUCGGGAAAAAGACACCUUUGUUGGAAGGAAGUAUGGGAAAUGGAAGCAGUAGUCAAAAUGUAAAUGGUCAUUCGCGAUCUGCAUUGGCAUAUUCGUCAACAUAUAGUGGAGCAGAAUCGGUGUGUAGAAGAGUUCAUGUAGGAGUUUCGACGAGUAGUACAACUUCACGAAGUACAAAUAAAACUGGGUCCAGCCCUUAUCGUAGUGAUACACAUUUAAGGCAUACAUCAACAUCCACGAGUAAUUAUAAUAGCGAUAGAGAUCCCUAUUUAUCUUCUAGGAGUCAUCGAUCGACGUUACAUUCCAGACAAGAAACGACAGAACCAAGGAAUCAACGUAGAGAUUCCGAAUCGGAUUCGGAUGGAUCCCAAGCUGAAGGUGGAGGACGAAGUUUAGAUCUUGCGAGCUCGCAUAGCUCUGACGAGGAAGACGUUACGUCGAGAUCGCAUAGAAAUAUGGGUGUCUCGACGCAGCAGCCUGUCACGCACAGUUAUUUGCCUAAUAUACACAGCAAUCCUACCGAACAUUUAAACAUACUUUGCUCAAAUACGGAAUUAUUUCCAAAUAUCAAACCCAUUUACGCACCUAGAUGGAGCUCACAGUUACCAGAAGCAUAUUUAUCAUCGAACGCAAUGGACGUACGCGGAAGCCAAUGGUCUGGAGGUACGAUAUCCGAUAAUGAAAUGGCCUCGAAUAAAACUUCCAGUCCCAAUCCACUGCCUUAUCCAGACAUGAAUUCACCUCAAAAAAGUCAACCGGAUGAAAAUUAUUCGGAAGGCGAAGAAAAACUUCAUCAUUUGGGAGAAAAAUAUUUGUUUCCAUAUACUGCUGAAGAAGAUCACACUGUCUCGCCUACUCCGUACAUGCUGCCUAUGUCUUCCCGCAUUCUCGCGUCUAGCAUGAGUCAUCAUUCACAAAAUUCUAAUCAUGAAAAUAUGAGUGGUUCGGAAAGGUACGGAAGCUUGAAGAGAGGACAAAGUUUACAUGGCUCUCAACACGAUAACCUAAGCGGGUCGGAAAGAUACGGUAGCUUAAAGCGUGGUAAAAUAACGCCAACUGUGCUGGAAGAUUCACCGGAAUAUAUUCUACCAAUGAGUGGUAGAAUAUUGUCUAGUUCAUUAACCCACGAUUUACAACAUAGCAAUGAAUUGGCUGCGCUUCGACAGCAGCAACAGCAAUAUGAACAAACUAUCACAGAGACCGAGUAAGUGCGAUAUAUUUAAAAAAAAAUUUCCUAUAAUAAUAAAUUAAAUCAAUAUACGUAUGUGUAUAAUUUUAAUUAACUGCAUUUACUUUAUAAUUUACGCUUACUCUGGAUAAUCAGUGAAGAGGAAGGAUACUAAUGCGGAAACGUCGGUAUGAUGGUCUCCGUGCUACAAACACCGUACAAAGUAAUAUAACGUAUUAUUAGCUUAAAAUUUAAAUGAUUAAAAUAUAUAUAUAUAUAUAUAUAUAUAUAGAUAUAUAUAUUUCUUAGAGUGAUAAUAACUCUAAGAUAUAUUUUAAGAGCGGCCAUGACUGUACUUACAAAUUUAGCCAUAUUGAUUAGUAUGUAUGUGUGAGUGCCUGUAUGUAUAUCUAUAUGCAUACGCUUGUCGAUAUUUUGUUUCGUGUGACUCCAGUUUCGGUUCUGAAGUGAUUUUUUUUUUUUUCUUCAUUGAUUAUCGCGAUAUUGAUCAGUGAUGUCGGAUAGUCGGAAGACAAAUGAUCUCUAGUUCAUUUCCAUUAUUCAUGUAAUUAAUAUUACUUUUCUAGUACCUUAAUUUCUAAACUCAGUAUUGUGCAAUGUAUACAUUCCAAUUCCAUUUUAUAUAUUUAGGUUCUAUUUCCUUUCUUUUUCAUUCUUUUUUUUUUUUUUUAAAGAAAUUUACAUAUUAUAUUUUAUACAUGCCAUGGAAGAAGCGUACAACUUUGCGGCGCAAUUUUCAUAGUUUUGUAUAUAUUUAUAUGAAAAAAAUGUGACAAAAUACAUAAUUUAUAUAUAUCCUUCAUCUAA
Molecule: RNA transcript, 11167 nt
Organism: Apis cerana (Asiatic honeybee)
Lineage: Eukaryota; Metazoa; Arthropoda; Insecta; Hymenoptera; Apidae
Gene: stan
Gene name: protocadherin-like wing polarity protein stan
Source: RefSeq, a predicted model, not a curated record